AGGAAAAUCCGUCGACUUUAAAAUCGUGAGGGUUCAAGUCCCUCUAUCC
RNAcentral lists this transfer RNA (49 nucleotides) under Gamblea innovans. RNAcentral's name for it is "partial tRNA-Leu". The record is from RNAcentral. Lineage: Eukaryota; Viridiplantae; Streptophyta; Magnoliopsida; Apiales; Araliaceae.